GAUGAACGCUGGCGGCGUGCCUAAUACAUGCAAGUCGAGCGAACGGACGAGAAGCUUGCUUUUCUGAUGUUAGCGGCGGACGGGUGAGUAACACGUGGAUAACCUACCUAUAAGACUGGGAUAACUUCGGGAAACCGGAGCUAAUACCGGAUAAUAUUUUGAACCGCAUGGUUCAAAAGUGAAAGACGGUCUUUCUGUCACUUAUAGAUGGAUCCGCGCUGCAUUAGCUAGUUGGUAAGGUAACGGCUUACCAAGGCAACGAUGCAUAGCCGACCUGAGAGGGUGAUCGGACACACUGGAACUGAGACACGGUCCAGACUCCGACGGGAGGCAGCAGUAGGGAAUCUUCCGCAAUGGGCGAAAGCCUGACGGAGCAACGCCGCGUGAGUGAUGAAGGACUUCGGAUCGUAAAACUCUGUUAGUAGGGAAGAACAUAUGUGUAAGUAACUGUGCACAUCUUGACGGUACCUAAUCAGAAAGCCACGGCUAACUACGUG
RNAcentral lists this ribosomal RNA (497 nucleotides) under uncultured bacterium. Its description in RNAcentral is "partial 16S ribosomal RNA". It matches the Rfam family "Bacterial small subunit ribosomal RNA", at positions 28 to 507 of the family's 1533-position model. The record is from RNAcentral.